Molecule: ribosomal RNA, 397 nt
Filed under: uncultured bacterium
Lineage: Bacteria
Description: partial 16S ribosomal RNA
Rfam family: Bacterial small subunit ribosomal RNA
Source: RNAcentral
AUACGUAGGUGGCAAGCGUUGUCCGGAAUUAUUGGGCGUAAAGCGCGCGCAGGUGGUUCCUUAAGUCUGAUGUGAAAGCCCACGGCUCCACCGUGGAGGGUCAUUGGAAACUGGGGGACUUGAGUGCAGAAGAGGAAAGUGGAAUUCCAAGUGUAGCGGUGAAAUGCGUAGAGAUUUGGAGGAACACCAGUGGCGAAGGCGACUUUCUGGUCUGUAACUGACGCUGAGGCGCGAAAGCGUGGGGAGCAAACAGGAUUAGAUACCCUGGUAGUCCACGCCGUAAACGAUGAGUGCUAAGUGUUAGGGGGUUUCCGCCCCUUAGUGCUGCAGCUAACGCAUUAAGCACUCCGCCUGGGGAGUACGGUCGCAAGACUGAAACUCAAAUGAAUUGACGGGG